This 69-nucleotide transfer RNA is filed under the name Ceruchus chrysomelinus. RNAcentral's name for it is "tRNA-Gln". Lineage: Eukaryota; Metazoa; Arthropoda; Insecta; Coleoptera; Lucanidae. The record is from RNAcentral.
UAUAUUUUAGUAUAGGAUGUACGGGGGUUUUUGGGGCUUCAUGAGAAGGUUUGAUUCCUUUAAAUAUAA